UGGGGAAUAUUGGUCAAUGGGCGAAAGCCUGAACCAGCAAUGCCGCGUGAGUGAUGAAGGCCUUCGGGUUGUAAAGCUCUGUCAGCGGGAACGAAUAAGCCGUUUAAUACACGGUGGUGACGGUACCCGCAAAGGAAGCACCGGCUAACUCUGUGCCAGCAGCCGCGGUAAUACAGAGGGUGCAAGCGUUGUUCGGAAUUACUGGGCGUAAAGCGCGUGUAGGCGGUCAUGUAAGUCGGUCGUGAAAUCCCUUGGCUCAACCAAGGAACUGCGAUCGAAACUGCUUGGCUAGAGUAUCGGAGGGGAUGGCGGAAUUCCUGGUGUAGAGGUGAAAUUCGUAGAUAUCAGGAGGAACACCUGUGGCGAAGGCGGCCAUCUGGAAGAUUACUGACGCUGAGAC
Molecule: ribosomal RNA, 400 nt
Filed under: uncultured bacterium
Lineage: Bacteria
Description: bacterial SSU rRNA
Rfam family: Bacterial small subunit ribosomal RNA
Source: RNAcentral